Molecule: non-coding RNA, 32 nt
Filed under: Mus musculus (house mouse)
Lineage: Eukaryota; Metazoa; Chordata; Mammalia; Rodentia; Muridae
Source: RNAcentral
GAGCCUCGGUUGGCCCCGGAUAGCCGGGUCCC